RNAcentral lists this ribosomal RNA (493 nucleotides) under uncultured bacterium. RNAcentral's name for it is "partial 16S ribosomal RNA". It matches the Rfam family "Bacterial small subunit ribosomal RNA", at positions 29 to 523 of the family's 1533-position model. The record is from RNAcentral.
AUUGAACGCUGGCGGCAUGCUUUACACAUGCAAGUCGAACGGUAACAGGUUAAGCUGACGAGUGGCGAACGGGUGAGUAAUGCAUCGGAACGUGCCCGCUCGUGGGGGAUAACACUUCGAAAGAAGUGCUAAUACCGCAUACGAUCUGAGGAUGAAAGCGGGGGACCGUAAGGCCUCGCGCGAUCGGAGCGGCCGGUGUCAGAUGAGGUAGUUGGUGGGGUAAAGGCUCACCAAGCCGCCGAUCUGUAGCUGGUCUGAGAGGAAGACCAGCCACACUGGGACUGAGACACGGCCGGGACUCCUACGGGAGGCAGCAGUGGGGAAUUUUGGACAAUGGGCGCAAGGCUGAGCCAGGAAUGCCGCGUGCAGGAAGAAGGCCUUCGGGGUGUAAACUGCUUUUGUACGGAGCGAAAAGGCUCCCUCUAAUACAGGGGGCUCAUGACGGUACCGUAAGAAUAAGCACCGGCUAACUACGUGCCAGCCGCCGCGGUAA